GCGGGCGUAGCUCAGUCCGGUUCAAAGCGCUGCCCUGUCACGGCAGAGAUCGUGGGUUCAAAUCCCAUCGCCCGCG
RNAcentral lists this transfer RNA (76 nucleotides) under Patescibacteria group bacterium. RNAcentral's name for it is "tRNA-Asp". It matches the Rfam family "tRNA". From Rfam's summary of the family: Transfer RNA (tRNA) molecules are approximately 80 nucleotides in length. The record is from RNAcentral.